This 27-nucleotide small RNA is filed under the name Bombyx mori (domestic silkworm). RNAcentral describes it as "ovarian small RNA-24870". Lineage: Eukaryota; Metazoa; Arthropoda; Insecta; Lepidoptera; Bombycidae. The record is from RNAcentral.
UCAAUGCAGUCUGUUCGCUUACGCACU